GCCACGAAGAACUGAACAUGGAGAGAGCGGAGCAGUAUUAUCAUCAGUUAUCAAAAACACCGUUAUCGGUUUCAAGAUUGCUCUGGACUAAGGUAUAUUAUACCCACAUGUCAGGGAUGGAUAGACUUUGAGCUCUAAAGGGCAUGGGUCUUAGCAGAUAAUCGCAUAUUGCAAGACAAAGAAGAGAGCCUAGGAUCUUCCGGAUAUUUCUUCUGAAGACAGAAACUCAUACCAGUUUGGAGCAACUUGA
This is a long non-coding RNA of Sinocyclocheilus grahami, 250 nucleotides long. RefSeq lists it as uncharacterized. The transcript has 3 exons. The record is from RefSeq and is a predicted model, not a curated record. Lineage: Eukaryota; Metazoa; Chordata; Actinopteri; Cypriniformes; Cyprinidae.